AUUGAACGCUGGCGGAAUGCUUUACACAUGCAAGUCGAACGGCAGCACGGACUUCGGUCUGGUGGCGAGUGGCGAACGGGUGAGUAAUGUAUCGGAACGUGCCCAGUUGUGGGGGAUAACGUAGUGAAAAUUACGCUAAUACCGCAUACGAUCUAUGGAUGAAAGCGGGGGAUCGCAAGACCUCGCGCGAUUGGAGCGGCCGAUAUCAGAUUAGGUAGUUGGUGGGGUAAAGGCCCACCAAGCCAACGAUCUGUAGCUGGUCUGAGAGGAAGACCAGCCACACUGGAACUGAGACACGGUACAGACUCCUACGGGAGGCAGCAGUGGGGAAUUUUGGACAAUGGGCGAAAGCCUGAUCCAGCCAUUCCGCGUGCAGGAUGAAGGCCCUCGGGUUGUAAACUGCUUUUGUACAGAACGAAAGGGUUUCUACUAAUACUAGGAGCUCAUGACGGUACUGUAAGAAUAAGCACCGGCUAACUACGUGCCAGCCGCCGCCGUAA
RNAcentral lists this ribosomal RNA (500 nucleotides) under uncultured bacterium. RNAcentral's name for it is "partial 16S ribosomal RNA". It matches the Rfam family "Bacterial small subunit ribosomal RNA", at positions 30 to 523 of the family's 1533-position model. The record is from RNAcentral.